Molecule: ribosomal RNA, 207 nt
Filed under: uncultured bacterium
Lineage: Bacteria
Description: partial 16S ribosomal RNA
Rfam family: Bacterial small subunit ribosomal RNA
Source: RNAcentral
CGUGUAGGCGGUUUGGCAAGUCGAGUGUGAAAUCCCACGGCUCAACCGUGGAACUGCGCUCGAAACUGCCUUACUUGAGUGCGGGAGAGGUGUGCGGAAUUCCUGGUGUAGCGGUGGAAUGCGUAGAUAUCAGGAAGAACACCGGUGGCGAAGGCGGCACACUGACCCAGCACUGACGCUGAGGCGCGAAAGCGUGGGGAGCGAACG